GAUGAACGCUGGCGGCGUGCCUAAUACAUGCAAGUCGAGCGAACAGACGAGGAGCUUGCUCCUCUGACGUUAGCGGCGGACGGGUGAGUAACACGUGGAUAACCUACCUAUAAGACUGGGAUAAUUUCGGGAAACCGGAGCUAAUACCGGAUAAUAUAUUGAACCGCAUGGUUCAAUGGUGAAAGACGGUUUUGCUGUCACUUAUAGAUGGAUCCGCGCCGCAUUGGCGAGUUGGUAAGUUAACGGCUUACGAAGGCUACGCUGCUUAGCCGACCUGAGGGGGGGUUGGGGCACACUGGAGCUGAGCCGCGGUCCAGACUCCUACGGGAGGCAGCGGUAGGGAAUCUUCCGCAAUGGGCGAAAGCCUGACGGAGCAACGCCGCGUGAGUGAUGAAGGUCUUCGGAUCGUAAAACUCUGUUAUUGGGGAAGAACAAAUGUGUAAGUAACUAUGCGCGUCUUGACGGUACCGGAUCAGAAAGCCACGCCUAACUACGU
This 496-nucleotide ribosomal RNA is filed under the name uncultured bacterium. RNAcentral describes it as "partial 16S ribosomal RNA". It matches the Rfam family "Bacterial small subunit ribosomal RNA", at positions 28 to 506 of the family's 1533-position model. The record is from RNAcentral.